GGCUGGCUAAAGAUUUCAGUAUUGCUUUUCAGUUUUUUAAAAACUGACAUUUUACACCAACGUUUUUCACAGCGGAACAAUACAAACCUUGGUAAGUCAAAAUAAAUGAUGCUUGAUUCCCAUAGACAGUACUUCAAGAUGUGCUGGAAUAGACUUGGCAAAGCAGACUGGGUUAACAUCAAGUGACAGCCAGGGACGAUAAUCCACACCUUCAAGAAAGAUAGCACCAGCUGUGGGGUUUUUGUCAUGGAGAUGGCCAAGAUGACGGUGAUGGAAUUUCCCAACAUACCAAAGUACUUCCACGUUGAAUCAUCUAAAAGGUGCAUUAAAACACUCAGACAAGACAUGGCAGAAUAAUUUUUCAUAGGAUCAGAUUCAAGGUAUAUGUUCUGCUCCUUCUGUGGAAAUGGGGACCUGCUCCAUCCUGUCAUUGCUGCCCUUUGGGUGAAACAAAAAGGUUUAAUAGAUUAAUAUAAUCAAUUUUAACUUAAUAAACAAUAAUACGUUAACUGCAGUGCCUAACAAUAUUUUAUUCUCUAUGAAUAUCUUCAUAUCAAAAGUUUUACAAAGAUAAACAUGUUUAUCCCCAUGCUGUAGAUACAGUGUGAAACCUGUGAGUGAUGGUUCCACACUGAAUGCAUUGAGAUGACACCAGGACAGACGCCAAAGACACCCCUUGGUACUGUGUGUUGUGCAAUAACUAGAGAGUCUCUAAGUAACGUUUGCUGACUGUAACCAAAUACUGAAUUAUUUAUGUUUGAGAGUGUGGGAAAUAAAAUGUGUUAAAACUCAAAGAUUAACAGUAUGAGAAUAUGAAUAUUGCAUGUUUGGGGGCAUGCUAUAUUGUGUGGCCUUUAUGGUUUU
Molecule: long non-coding RNA, 864 nt
Organism: Girardinichthys multiradiatus
Lineage: Eukaryota; Metazoa; Chordata; Actinopteri; Cyprinodontiformes; Goodeidae
Exons: 3
Source: RefSeq, a predicted model, not a curated record